This 1524-nucleotide ribosomal RNA is filed under the name Salmonella enterica subsp. enterica serovar Dublin. RNAcentral describes it as "partial 23S ribosomal RNA". It matches the Rfam family "Bacterial large subunit ribosomal RNA", at positions 634 to 2141 of the family's 2925-position model. Lineage: Bacteria; Pseudomonadati; Pseudomonadota; Gammaproteobacteria; Enterobacterales; Enterobacteriaceae. The record is from RNAcentral.
UCUGUAGCAAGGUUAACCGAAUAGGGGAGCCGGAGGGAAACCGAGUCUUAAUUGGGCGUUAAGUUGCAGGGUAUAGACCCGAAACCCGGUGAUCUAGCCAUGGGCAGGUUGAAGGUUGGGUAACACUAACUGGAGGACCGAACCGACUAAUGUUGAAAAAUUAGCGGAUGACCUGUGGCUGGGGGUGAAAGGCCAAUCAAACCGGGAGAUAGCUGGUUCUCCCCGAAAGCUAUUUAGGUAGCGCCUCGUGAAUUCAUCUCCGGGGGUAGAGCACUGUUUCGGCUAGGGGGCCAUCCCGGCUUACCAACCCGAUGCAAACUGCGAAUACCGGAGAAUGUUAUCACGGGAGACACACGGCGGGUGCUAACGUCCGUCGUGAAGAGGGAAACAACCCAGACCGCCAGCUAAGGUCCCAAAGUCAUGGUUAAGUGGGAAACGAUGUGGGAAGGCCCAGACAGCCAGGAUGUUGGCUUAGAAGCAGCCAUCAUUUAAAGAAAGCGUAAUAGCUCACUGGUCGAGUCGGCCUGCGCGGAAGAUGUAACGGGGCUAAACCAUGCACCGAAGCUGCGGCAGCGACGCUUAUGCGUUGUUGGGUAGGGGAGCGUUCUGUAAGCCUGUGAAGGUGGCCUGUGAGGGUUGCUGGAGGUAUCAGAAGUGCGAAUGCUGACAUAAGUAACGAUAAAGCGGGUGAAAAGCCCGCUCGCCGGAAGACCAAGGGUUCCUGUCCAACGUUAAUCGGGGCAGGGUGAGUCGACCCCUAAGGCGAGGCCGAAAGGCGUAGUCGAUGGGAAACGGGUUAAUAUUCCCGUACUUGGUGUUACUGCGAAGGGGGGACGGAGAAGGCUAUGUUGGCCGGGCGACGGUUGUCCCGGUUUAAGCGUGUAGGUGUGUGUUCCAGGUAAAUCCGGUUCACUUUAACACUGAGGCGUGAUGACGAGGCACUACGGUGCUGAAGUAACAAAUGCCCUGCUUCCAGGAAAAGCCUCUAAGCAUCAGGUAACAUCAAAUCGUACCCCAAACCGACACAGGUGGUCAGGUAGAGAAUACCAAGGCGCUUGAGAGAACUCGGGUGAAGGAACUAGGCAAAAUGGUGCCGUAACUUCGGGAGAAGGCACGCUGACACGUAGGUGAAGUGAUUUACUCACGGAGCUGAAGUCAGUCGAAGAUACCAGCUGGCUGCAACUGUUUAUUAAAAACACAGCACUGUGCAAACACGAAAGUGGACGUAUACGGUGUGACGCCUGCCCGGUGCCGGAAGGUUAAUUGAUGGGGUCAGCGCAAGCGAAGCUCCUGAUCGAAGCCCCGGUAAACGGCGGCCGUAACUAUAACGGUCCUAAGGUAGCGAAAUUCCUUGUCGGGUAAGUUCCGACCUGCACGAAUGGCGUAAUGAUGGCCAGGCUGUCUCCACCCGAGACUCAGUGAAAUUGAACUCGCUGUGAAGAUGCAGUGUACCCGCGGCAAGACGGAAAGACCCCGUGAACCUUUACUAUAGCUUGACACUGAACAUUGAGCCUUGAUGUGUAG